CAUCGCCUGCACCUCCUGGUACUGACUCUUCGCCCUCAGUUCACCGGUCACUGCCCUGUUCGCCUCGCCUGGUCCGGCCGUCGUCGGUCCCCACGGCCCGGUGCCUCCCUUAACCUACCAACGCCCCAUCCCCACCGGCGCCCAGAGACGUGCAGAGUCGAGGAGGUCGAGGGGGACAGGAAGGAGGUCUGCGCUGAGCUGCUGCACUGCAGGGCCGUGAGGCCCUGUCUCGCCUCUGCCCCCUCCGGCCACCGGAGACUCUUGGGCUUCCCGCGCUGCACCCAGACACCUCAGGCCUCCGUGCUCGCCCCGCCCGCAGCUCCAGCCGUCUGGGUCCUAGUUCAGCCUGCCCUGCGCGGACUUCUAGAACCAGGCUGGGGCUCUUGAUUUGAUAACUUGAACUCCUGGAGUACACUGGAGGAAUGCUGUUCGAAGGAAUGAAGUCAGUCUAUGAAAACAUCUCUCAAUUAAGAAUCAUCCCUGAAGAUGAGAAACUGUGACUUGACAGCUGCUCCUGGCUGUGUGACCUGCUCCCUCCAGACUCAUAGAACUGACAGGGUGGCUUUCCAUGGAGCACCGAUGAUCUUCAAUGGCCUGUACAACCCUCUACUUCGUGUGGCUGAGGCUUGGCACAUACAGACCCUCAACAAUCACUCCCUGACUUGAUUUCCCCAGAUUGUGCAUUGCCUGCCUGAAGGGAUCUUCUCUGUCUGAUGUCAGUGUCUCUAUUAGGGCUAGAAGGACCCUUGGAGUGCAUCUGUCUCCCACCCCACUUCUCCCAUGUCACAGGUGAAAAAAGGGGGUCACGAGGGUAAGGAAUCAUCCCAAGUCCCUCGCCCAGGGCACAUUACCUUUGAAGAAGACGAAUCUCCCAUCAGCCCUUUCAUAGGCUGCGUCUAUGCGGGCGGGUAGGCCCUUCCAGA
This is an RNA transcript of Miniopterus natalensis, 923 nucleotides long. It is a transcript of the gene named MMP24 opposite strand, with no coding region annotated. NCBI's taxonomy places the organism in Eukaryota, Metazoa, Chordata, Mammalia, Chiroptera, Miniopteridae. The record is from RefSeq and is a predicted model, not a curated record.